GCGUUGUUCGGAAUUACUGGGCGUAAAGCGCGCGUAGGCGGCUUUGUAAGUCAGAGGUGAAAGCCUGGAGCUCAACUCCAGAACUGCCUUUGAGACUGCAUCGCUAGAAUUGUGGAGAGGUAAGUGGAAUUCCGAGUGUAGAGGUGAAAUUCGUAGAGAUCAGCAGGAACCCCCGUGGCGAAGGCGGCCACCUGGGCCGUACCUGACGCUGAGGCGCGAAGUCUAG
This 226-nucleotide ribosomal RNA is filed under the name uncultured bacterium. Its description in RNAcentral is "partial 16S ribosomal RNA". It matches the Rfam family "Bacterial small subunit ribosomal RNA", at positions 538 to 763 of the family's 1533-position model. The record is from RNAcentral.